GAUGAAGAACGUAGCGAAAUGCGAUACGUAAUGUGAAUUGCAGAAUUCAGUGAAUCAUCGAAUCUUUGAACGCACAUUGCGCCCGCCAGCAUUCUGGCGGGCAUGCCUGUCCGAGCGUCAUUUCAACCCUCAAGCCCCAGCGGCCUGGUGUUGGGGGACGGCCGCCUCCACAGCGGAGCGGCCGCCCCCGAAAUGAAUUGGCGGCCUCGGCGCCGCCUCCCCCUGCGUAGUAGCGACAGCAGUCUCGCACCGGGAGCGCGCCGCGGCCACUGCCGUAAAACGCCCAACUUUUUCAACGAGUUGACCUCGGAUCAGGUAGGACUACCCGCUGAACUUAAGCAUAUCAAUAAGCGGAGGA
This 358-nucleotide unclassified non-coding RNA is filed under the name soil metagenome. Its description in RNAcentral is "partial contains 5.8S ribosomal RNA, internal transcribed spacer 2, and large subunit ribosomal RNA". The stretch from base 1 to 120 matches the Rfam family "5.8S ribosomal RNA", at positions 35 to 154 of the family's 154-position model. The record is from RNAcentral.